GCUUUCCAUUUCUGCAAAAAAAGCUUUUUGGACAUUUGGCAAGAGCUGCACUGGAUCUGUAGAUUUCUUUGGGUAGUAUUGACAUCUUAACAAUAUAAAGUCUUCGUAUCCAUGAAAAAUAAUGUCUUCUCAUUUAUUUAGAUUUGGCUAGCUGAUUGGCUGCUGAAAAAUAAUCCUAACAAACCCAAACUUUGUCACCAUCCAGUUGUAGAAGAACCUUAUUAAAAAAAAUCCUCGAAAGAACAAAUCAUGAACUAUCUUAUUGUAAAAGGCUGUACUUCUACUGUUUGAAAAAAUUAUUUCUAGGGUUUAAGUAACUACAAGUAAAAUAAAUUUAUUUCUUAAAAAUAA
This 351-nucleotide small RNA is filed under the name Pongo abelii (Sumatran orangutan). Its description in RNAcentral is "processed transcript". Lineage: Eukaryota; Metazoa; Chordata; Mammalia; Primates; Hominidae. The record is from RNAcentral.